UACGGAGGUGGCAAGCGUUGCUCGGAAUCACUGGGCGUAAAGGGCGCGUAGGCGGUCAGCACAAGUCAGUUGUGAAAUCUCCGGGCUUAACUCGGAAAGGUCAACUGAUACUGUGCGACUAGAGUGCGGAAGGGGCAACUGGAAUUCUCGGUGUAGCGGUGAAAUGCGUAGAUAUCGAGAGGAACACCUGCGGCGAAGGCGGGUUGCUGGGCCGACACUGACGCUGAUGCGCGAAAGCCAGGGGAGCGAACGGG
RNAcentral lists this ribosomal RNA (254 nucleotides) under uncultured bacterium. Its description in RNAcentral is "partial 16S ribosomal RNA". It matches the Rfam family "Bacterial small subunit ribosomal RNA", at positions 524 to 776 of the family's 1533-position model. The record is from RNAcentral.